RNAcentral lists this ribosomal RNA (1504 nucleotides) under uncultured Enterobacter sp. RNAcentral's name for it is "bacterial SSU rRNA". It matches the Rfam family "Bacterial small subunit ribosomal RNA". The record is from RNAcentral. Lineage: Bacteria; Pseudomonadati; Pseudomonadota; Gammaproteobacteria; Enterobacterales; Enterobacteriaceae.
UAGGGUUUGAUCCUGGCUCAGAUUGAACGCUGGCGGCAGGCCUAACACAUGCAAGUCGAACGGUAGCACAGAGAGCUUGCUCUCGGGUGACGAGUGGCGGACGGGUGAGUAAUGUCUGGGAAACUGCCUGAUGGAGGGGGAUAACUACUGGAAACGGUAGCUAAUACCGCAUAACGUCGCAAGACCAAAGAGGGGGACCUUCGGGCCUCUUGCCAUCAGAUGUGCCCAGAUGGGAUUAGCUAGUAGGUGGGGUAACGGCUCACCUAGGCGACGAUCCCUAGCUGGUCUGAGAGGAUGACCAGCCACACUGGAACUGAGACACGGUCCAGACUCCUACGGGAGGCAGCAGUGGGGAAUAUUGCACAAUGGGCGCAAGCCUGAUGCAGCCAUGCCGCGUGUAUGAAGAAGGCCUUCGGGUUGUAAAGUACUUUCAGCGGGGAGGAAGGUGUUGUGGUUAAUAACCACAGCAAUUGACGUUACCCGCAGAAGAAGCACCGGCUAACUCCGUGCCAGCAGCCGCGGUAAUACGGAGGGUGCAAGCGUUAAUCGGAAUUACUGGGCGUAAAGCGCACGCAGGCGGUCUGUCAAGUCGGAUGUGAAAUCCCCGGGCUCAACCUGGGAACUGCAUUCGAAACUGGCAGGCUAGAGUCUUGUAGAGGGGGGUAGAAUUCCGGGUGUAGCGGUGAAAUGCGUAGAGAUCUGGAGGAAUACCGGUGGCGAAGGCGGCCCCCUGGACAAAGACUGACGCUCAGGUGCGAAAGCGUGGGGAGCAAACAGGAUUAGAUACCCUGGUAGUCCACGCCGUAAACGAUGUCGACUUGGAGGUUGUGCCCUUGAGGCGUGGCUUCCGGAGCUAACGCGUUAAGUCGACCGCCUGGGGAGUACGGCCGCAAGGUUAAAACUCAAAUGAAUUGACGGGGGCCCGCACAAGCGGUGGAGCAUGUGGUUUAAUUCGAUGCAACGCGAAGAACCUUACCUACUCUUGACAUCCAGAGAACUUUCCAGAGAUGGAUUGGUGCCUUCGGGAACUCUGAGACAGGUGCUGCAUGGCUGUCGUCAGCUCGUGUUGUGAAAUGUUGGGUUAAGUCCCGCAACGAGCGCAACCCUUAUCCUUUGUUGCCAGCGGUCCGGCCGGGAACUCAAAGGAGACUGCCAGUGAUAAACUGGAGGAAGGUGGGGAUGACGUCAAGUCAUCAUGGCCCUUACGAGUAGGGCUACACACGUGCUACAAUGGCGCAUACAAAGAGAAGCGAACUCGCGAGAGCAAGCGGACCUCAUAAAGUGCGUCGUAGUCCGGAUUGGAGUCUGCAACUCGACUCCAUGAAGUCGGAAUCGCUAGUAAUCGUAGAUCAGAAUGCUACGGUGAAUACGUUCCCGGGCCUUGUACACACCGCCCGUCACACCAUGGGAGUGGGUUGCAAAAGAAGUAGGUAGCUUAACCUUCGGGAGGGCGCUUACCACUUUGUGAUUCAUGACUGGGGUGAAGUCGUAACAAGGUAGCCGA